RNAcentral lists this ribosomal RNA (253 nucleotides) under uncultured bacterium. RNAcentral's name for it is "partial 16S ribosomal RNA". It matches the Rfam family "Archaeal small subunit ribosomal RNA", at positions 474 to 727 of the family's 1478-position model. The record is from RNAcentral.
UACCAGCACCCCGAGUUGUCGGUACGAUUAUUGGGCCUAAAGCAUCCGUAGCCUGUUCUGCAAGUCCUCCGUUAAAUCCACCUGCUUAACGGAUGGGCUGCGGAGGAUACCGCAGAGCUAGGAGGCGGGAGAGGCAAACGGUACUCAGUGGGUAGGGGUAAAAUCCAUUGAUCUACUGAAGACCACCAGUGGCGAAGGCGGUUUGCCAAAACGCGCUCGACGGUGAGGGAUGAAAGCUGGGGGAGCAAACCGG